GAUGAAGAACGUAGCGAAAUGCGAUAAGUAAUGUGAAUUGCAGAAUACAGUGAAUCAUCGAAUCUUUGAACGCACCUUGCGCUCCUUGGUAUUCUGAGGAGCAUGCCUGUUUGAGUGUCAUUUAAUUCUCAAACUUUACCUAGUUUGCAAAAACUAGAUCAGGUCUGGAGUCUGGAAGUUGCUGGCUUUUUUUUUAAGCUAGCUCUUCUAAAAUAUAUUAGCAGAAUUAUUGCUACUCAAUAUGGUAUGAUAAUUAUCUAUACCGUUGAAAGUAGGCUUUCUGAUUUUGCUUCUAAUUGUCUACCAAGACAACCUUGAUACCUUUGACCUCAAAUCAGGUAGGACUACCCGCUGAACUUAAGCAUAUCAAUAAGCGGAGGA
Molecule: unclassified non-coding RNA, 381 nt
Filed under: soil metagenome
Description: partial contains 5.8S ribosomal RNA, internal transcribed spacer 2, and large subunit ribosomal RNA
Rfam family: 5.8S ribosomal RNA (bases 1-120)
Source: RNAcentral